AGUGAACGCUGGCGGUAGGCCUAACACAUGCAAGUCGAACGGCAGCACAGUAAGAGCUUGCUCUUACGGGUGGCGAGUGGCGGACGGGUGAGGCAUACAUCGGAAUCUACUUUUUCGUGGGGGAUAACGUAGGGACACUUACGCUAAUACCGCAUACGACCUACGGGUGAAAGCAGGGGAUCUUCGCACCUUUCGCGAUUGUAUGAGCCGAUGUCGGAUUAGCUAAUUUGGUAGGUAAAGGCCCACCAAGGCGACGAUCCGUAGCUGGUCUGAGAGGAGGAACAGCCACACUGGGACUGAGACAACGUCCAAACUCCUAAGGGGAGGAGGAGUGGGGAAUAUUGGAGAAUGGGGCGAAGGCUGAUCCAGGCAUACCGCGUGGGGGAAGGAGGGCUUCGGGUUGUAAAACCCUUGUGUUGGGAAAGAAAAGCAGCAGGUUAAUACCCCGCUGUUCUGACGGUACCCAAAGAAGAAGCACCGGCUAACUUCGUG
This 492-nucleotide ribosomal RNA is filed under the name uncultured bacterium. RNAcentral's name for it is "partial 16S ribosomal RNA". It matches the Rfam family "Bacterial small subunit ribosomal RNA", at positions 29 to 507 of the family's 1533-position model. The record is from RNAcentral.